GUAUACAAAAUUGAUGUUUUUGGUCCAACAAAACUAUGUUGAACCCUUCUUGAUCAAAAUUAAAUCAAGAUUAAGUGUACGACUCUAUACCUGACAUCUAACAAUACUGCAACACCACAACACAAAUUCAAAUUAGCAAAAAAUUAAUCCAGCUCAAGAAAUGUUGUUCCACUGAAUCAACAAGACCCACGAGCUACAGGUUUGGUUCCAGUGCACUAUUUGAAUUUCUCGUGCAUGAUGCCCUGGUUCUACUUCAGUCCGCUGUAUCCAUGUUAUUUGUAGCAAACAACAAUAGGGUUAAUUCCUCGCUCGCAAAGCUAGUAAUAAGGGACUGCGUUAUUAUGAGGGCAGAUUAAUAUUUGAAUAUUUUGAUGCCGGCACUGAUUGCUUGCUACAUUGAGAUGGCAAAUUACACACAAGAAGGGAAACUCACCGGAUAUUGAACCACCCAGUGUCAGUGAGGGCUUCUAAGGUCGUUAUAAAACAAUAUAAAUUUCAGAACCAAAACAAUGCAUGACCCAUCAGAUAUUAUAAGCACCAGAUCAGUUAAAGAGAAAAGGGCAUGGAAUCCUAAGCUCGAGAGAAAAUUCCAGUAUAAACUGUAGGUACCACAAACUCAACCAAUAUAAAUUUCAGAACCAAAACAAUGCAUGACCCAUCAGAUAUUAUAAGCACCAGAUCAGUUAAAGAGAAAAGGGCAUGGAAUCCUAAGCUCGAGAGAAAAUUCCAGUAUAAACUGUAGGUACCACAAACUCAACCAAUAUAAAUUUCAGAACCAAAACAAUGCAUGACCCAUCAGAUAUUAUAAGCACCAGAUCAGUUAAAGAGAAAAGGGCAUGGAAUCCUGAGCUCGAGAGAAAAUUCCAGUAUAAACUGUAGGUACCACAAACUCAACCAAUAUAAAUUUCA
This 909-nucleotide long non-coding RNA is filed under the name Hordeum vulgare. Its description in RNAcentral is "long non-coding RNA (HVUL_LNC014505)". Lineage: Eukaryota; Viridiplantae; Streptophyta; Magnoliopsida; Poales; Poaceae. The record is from RNAcentral.